GGUGAGUGGCUGUGUUUUUCCAUAAAGCUGGAGUUUCCACCCCUGGGUGGAGCUACCUCAUUCCAAUCAAGAUCUGCACCUGUUGGUAAUUUGGAGUGCCUGCAUGAAAGGAGACUUCCGGUUCAUUUUUUCACUCUCAACAAUACUCAUCACUUCUGGACACUGGUCUGCUCAGUAAUCAUGGUCACAGCCCAAGUUCUGUUGGAUAUCCAUUUAUCUACCUGCCUCCCUGCUGCUGCUCAAAGGAUUCACGGAAAAUACUCCGUCUGGAUCCUCGGCUUCUCACCCGGACCACUUCAACUGCCUUCACCUCACACCAAACUUUGCCACUGACCUCCCCUGCCUGAGCCACAAACCGCUCCCUGAGUCUCCCUAGCUCCUGUUAUGACGAUUCACAGCCCCAUUGGUUUUCACAGCUCAUAGUUCACGUUUCUGCUUCAUAGUUCAUGUUCCUUUUCUUAGUUCACUGCUCAUGUUCGGAUGUAUUGCUUGUGUUCUAAAUUAUCUAGUUCACAGCCAUUAUAUUCUGUCAAAGUCACUUGUAAAUAAAAGCUUUGUUA
Molecule: long non-coding RNA, 560 nt
Organism: Oreochromis aureus
Lineage: Eukaryota; Metazoa; Chordata; Actinopteri; Cichliformes; Cichlidae
Source: Ensembl